GCCAAAUCUCCCCUUUUUCUCCUUCCAGACAAUCACAGCCCUCAUUAAGCCCUUCCUGUUUGCACUCUCAUUUCCUACAUAAAUUCCUAUCAAGGUUACCAGCCCUCCCCAGUUUAUUCCUUUCUCUCUUUCCCAGCCAUGGCCUCUCAGCCACCAGUCACCUCUUCCCCCAACCCCCUGACCUCCCACUUCUCUUCUCAAUUCAACUGCUCUUCAGGAUUUCUGGUUGCACUACCUCUGGAGACAAGACUCUAGCAUUUGUUCUUAGGAGGCAAGAAUGCGUUGUUCCGUUUUUGAAUUCCACACAUCUAAUAUGGAGCCUGAGCCACAGGGCUCAAAAUGUUAAGUAAACAAAUGAAUGGGAAAUUAAUAAGAAGAAUGCAUUGGCAAGACCGUGAAGAAGGCCUGCCAUGGGAAGCUUUGGGAAGAAGCCAGCUGCCAUGUUGUGAGAACUCUCAAGCAGCUGUGUGGAGAGAUCCAUGUGGUGAGGAACUGAAGCCUCCUACCCACCAUCAAGUCAGUGGCUCACUACUGUUGCAGUGAAUUCUCCAGCCCAUGAAGACUUUAGAUGAUUUACCCAACAUCUUGAUUAUAGCCUCAUGGAUUCCCUGAGCCAGAACAACCCAGCUAAGCCUCUCCUGAAUUCCUUACCUACAGAAACUGUGAGAUAAUAAAUAUUUAUUCUUUUAAGCCAUCAAAUUUUGGGUAAUUUAUUAUGCAGUAAUAUGUAACUAAUAUAGAUAAAAAUAUUCAGUUUGAAGGAAAGAAGAAAAAUAACUUACAAUAAACUCAAGAAAUAAAAUAAAAU
This 808-nucleotide long non-coding RNA is filed under the name Homo sapiens (human). RNAcentral's name for it is "HSALNT0016173". Lineage: Eukaryota; Metazoa; Chordata; Mammalia; Primates; Hominidae. The record is from RNAcentral.